Molecule: ribosomal RNA, 403 nt
Filed under: uncultured bacterium
Lineage: Bacteria
Description: partial 16S ribosomal RNA
Rfam family: Bacterial small subunit ribosomal RNA
Source: RNAcentral
AUUGAACGCUGGCGGCAGGCAUAACACCUGCAAGUCGAGCGAGCGGCGGACGGGUGAGUAAUGUAUGGGGACUGCCCGAUCGAGGGGGAUAACUACUGGAAACGGUGGCUAAUACCGCAUACUAUCGGAUAACCCAUAUGGGAUUAGCUAGUAGGUGGGGUAAAGGCUCACCUAGGCGACGAUCUCUAGCUGGUCUGCGAGGAUGAUCAGACACACUGGGACUGAGACACGACCCAGCCUCCUCCGGAGGCUGCAGUGGUGAAUAUGUCACAAUGGGUGCAAGCCUGUUGCAUCCAUGCCGCGUGUAUGAAGAAGGCCUUAGGGUUAGAAAGUAUUUUCAGCGGGGAGGCGUUACCCGCAGAAGAAACACCGACUAAGUCCGUGCCAGCAGCCGCGGUAAUAC